AGGAACACCUGUGUAUAAAAUUCUUCAUGAAAGUGAUUCAGGAGGGAAGAUUAUCAAAAAAGUGACUUUUGUCUUCCGAUAUAAGGAAAACAAAUACUAUCUAAAGCAACAGGAAGGGAAUACCACGGAGCUGGCAGUGCUCAACAUUGAAGGGGAUUGGAAAUGUACACUUCCCCCCGAUGUUUGCUGGUUUCGGAUGGUUCCUCUUAAUGGCGGUGAAAGACAUACCUUUGAACCUGUGAUAGGGGCGAUCCCGACACCUGAGCUGUUUAACAAAAAAGAAUUCACAAUGCAGGAAGUCCCUGAAGACCCUACGAGGAAGACCUGACCAAGAAGCAGCAGUAAAGAAUUGAAAACCAAUUAGGCUUUCCAUCACCAUGCUGAAGAACUCCCUGCUUGAUGUAAAUUCUUUCCCCAACCAUUACCACAGUGACAUAGAGAAAAGAAGAGCCAUUGACAGAGGGAUCCUGGUUUUCAUGAUGAUCUUUUGAGUCUUGAUUCUCUUAGCCUUUUGAUGACUGAUGUUCUAUGAUAUUAAAAGGGUUCUUGGAGGGGUUUGGUGGAAGGGUAACCUUUUUUCUACCAGUGAAGCAGAUAAAUGCUUUUGAAAAGCAAAAGAAAAGUGAAUGGUUAACAAACCUGGCUAUCAAUGGUUAGUAGAAGAAAAAAAAGAUGCAGUCCAUUAAAUGUGAUUAUUUUACACAGUGUAUUUAUGAAUUCUAAACUCAGAGUAAGGAUUAUGGCUUCCUGCUCUUUUAAUGCUUUUAAUAUGAAUUUCCAUGUUGGGUAUUAUUGGUUUGGAAAUUAAAAUCUUUUUGCAAUACAGGGGGAUUUUAUUGUUUCCUGAAGACACAAAUGUGAAUGUAAAUAUAUUUAUAAUAAAAUGAUGAUGAUCAUAAAGUCAUGUCU
This is a long non-coding RNA of Cyprinodon tularosa, 909 nucleotides long. RefSeq lists it as uncharacterized. The record is from RefSeq and is a predicted model, not a curated record. Lineage: Eukaryota; Metazoa; Chordata; Actinopteri; Cyprinodontiformes; Cyprinodontidae. The transcript has 4 exons.